GACGAACGCUGGCGGCGUGCCUAAUACAUGCAAGUAGAACGCUGAAGAGAGGAGCUUGCUCUUCUUGGAUGAGUUGCGAACGGGUGAGUAACGCGUAGGUAACCUGCCUUGUAGCGGGGGAUAACUAUUGGAAACGAUAGCUAAUACCGCAUAACAAUGGAUGACACAUGUCAUUUAUUUGAAAGGGGCAAUUGCUCCACUACAAGAUGGACCUGCGUUGUAUUAGCUAGUAGGUGAGGUAACGGCUCACCUAGGCGACGAUACAUAGCCGACCUGAGAGGGUGAUCGGCCACACUGGGACUGAGACACGGCCCAGACUCCUACGGGAGGCAGCAGUAGGGAAUCUUCGGCAAUGGGGGCAACCCUGACCGAGCAACGCCGCGUGAGUGAAGAAGGUUUUCGGAUCGUAAAGCUCUGUUGUAAGUCAAGAACGAGUGUGAGAGUGGAAAGUUCACACUGUGACGGUAGCUUACCAGAAAGGGACGGCUAACUACGUGCCAGCAGCCGCGGUAAUACGUAGGUCCCGAGCGUUGUCCGGAUUUAUUGGGCGUAAAGCGAGCGCAGGCGGUUUGAUAAGUCUGAAGUUAAAGGCUGUGGCUCAACCAUAGUUCGCUUUGGAAACUGUCAAACUUGAGUGCAGAAGGGGAGAGUGGAAUUCCAUGUGUAGCGGUGAAAUGCGUAGAUAUAUGGAGGAACACCGGUGGCGAAAGCGGCUCUCUGGUCUGUAACUGACGCUGAGGCUCGAAAGCGUGGGGAGCGAACAGGAUUAGAUACCCUGGUAGUCCACGCCGUAAACGAUGAGUGCUAGGUGUUGGAUCCUUUCCGGGAUUCAGUGCCGCAGCUAACGCAUUAAGCACUCCGCCCGGGGAGUACGACCGCAAGGUUGAAACUCAAAGGAAUUGACGGGGGCCCGCACAAGCGGUGGAGCAUGUGGUUUAAUUCGAAGCAACGCGAAGAACCUUACCAGGUCUUGACAUCCCGAUGCUAUUUCUAGAGAUAGAAAGUUACUUCGGUACAUCGGUGACAGGUGGUGCAUGGUUGUCGUCAGCUCGUGUCGUGAGAUGUUGGGUUAAGUCCCGCAACGAGCGCAACCCCUAUUGUUAGUUGCCAUCAUUCAGUUGGGCACUCUAGCGAGACUGCCGGUAAUAAACCGGAGGAAGGUGGGGAUGACGUCAAAUCAUCAUGCCCCUUAUGACCUGGGCUACACACGUGCUACAAUGGUUGGUACAACGAGUUGCGAGUCGGUGACGGCAAGCUAAUCUCUUAAAGCCAAUCUCAGUUCGGAUUGUAGGCUGCAACUCGCCUACAUGAAGUCGGAAUCGCUAGUAAUCGCGGAUCAGCACGCCGCGGUGAAUACGUUCCCGGGCCU
Molecule: ribosomal RNA, 1369 nt
Filed under: uncultured bacterium
Lineage: Bacteria
Description: bacterial SSU rRNA
Rfam family: Bacterial small subunit ribosomal RNA
Source: RNAcentral